Molecule: ribosomal RNA, 467 nt
Filed under: Limaformosa chanleri (Chanler's file snake)
Lineage: Eukaryota; Metazoa; Chordata; Lepidosauria; Squamata; Lamprophiidae
Description: partial small subunit ribosomal RNA
Rfam family: Bacterial large subunit ribosomal RNA
Source: RNAcentral
GGCCGCGGUANCCUAACCGUGCNAAGGUAGCGUAAUCACCUGUCUAUUAAUUGUAGACCCGUAUGAAUGGCAAAAUGAGGGUCUAGCUGUCUCUUAUAGUAAAUCAAUUAAACUGAUCUCCCAGUCCAAAAGCUGGGAUACCAACAUAAGACCAGAAGACCCUGUGAAGCUUAAACUAAACUAUUAAAACAUAUUAUACCUCAUUUCGGUUGGGGCGACCUUGGAAAAAAAUAGAACUUCCAAAAAAUGACCUAUCAUCAACCACACAAGGCAAACAAGCCAACAAUAGACCCAGUUCAAACUGAGCAUUGAAACAAGUUACUCCAGGGAUAACAGCGCUAUCUUCUUCAAGAGCCCAUAUCAAAAAGAAGGUUUACGACCUCGAUGUUGGAUCAGGACAUCCCAGCGGUGCAGCAGCUACUAAAGGUUCGUUUGUUCAACGAUUAAUAGUCCCACGUGAUCUGAGU